GGCUUUCUUCGCGGCGGAGCUCGACCGCCCACACAACAGAUGAUCGAGUACAUCGAUCAGAACAAAGCCGAAUUCGGGGUCGAGCCGAUCUGCGCAGAGCUGCCGAUCGCCCCG
Non-coding RNA from Microbacterium esteraromaticum, 114 nucleotides. NCBI's taxonomy places the organism in Bacteria, Bacillati, Actinomycetota, Actinomycetes, Micrococcales, Microbacteriaceae. The record is from Rfam.